GCGGACGUGGCGAAAUUGGCAGACGCGCUAGAUUCAGGUUCUAGUGGUUUUAUUACCUUGCAGGUUCAAGUCCUGUCGUCCGCACCA
This 87-nucleotide transfer RNA is filed under the name Christensenellaceae bacterium. RNAcentral's name for it is "tRNA-Leu". It matches the Rfam family "tRNA". Rfam says of the family: Transfer RNA (tRNA) molecules are approximately 80 nucleotides in length. Their secondary structure includes four short double-helical elements and three loops (D, anti-codon, and T loops). The record is from RNAcentral. Lineage: Bacteria; Bacillati; Bacillota; Clostridia; Christensenellales; Christensenellaceae.